RNAcentral lists this transfer RNA (74 nucleotides) under Perkinsus olseni. RNAcentral describes it as "tRNA-Val". It matches the Rfam family "tRNA". Rfam says of the family: Transfer RNA (tRNA) molecules are approximately 80 nucleotides in length. Their secondary structure includes four short double-helical elements and three loops (D, anti-codon, and T loops). Lineage: Eukaryota; Perkinsozoa; Perkinsida; Perkinsidae. The record is from RNAcentral.
GCUGGAAUGGUCUAGUUGGUUAUGACGACUGCCUAACACGAAGUAGGUCCCGAGUUCGAUUCUCGGUUCCAGUA